This 327-nucleotide ribosomal RNA is filed under the name uncultured eukaryote. RNAcentral's name for it is "partial 18S ribosomal RNA". It matches the Rfam family "Eukaryotic small subunit ribosomal RNA", at positions 1470 to 1796 of the family's 1831-position model. The record is from RNAcentral.
CCCUUAGAUGUUCUGGGCCGCACGCGCGCUACACUGACGAAUGCAACGAGCUUAUAACCUUGGCCGAAAGGUCUGGGUAAUCUCCAAAUUUCGUCGUGAUGGGGAUAGAUUAUUGCAAUUAUUAAUCUUCAACGAGGAAUGCCUAGUAAGCGCAAGUCAUCAGCUUGCGUUGAUUACGUCCCUGCCCUUUGUACACACCGCCCGUCGCUCCUACCGAUUGAAUGGUCCGGUGAAGUGCUCGGACCGCGGCCUCUUGACGGUUUUCCGUCGAUUGGCUGUGGGAAGUUCGUUAAACCUUNUNAUUUAGNGGAAGGAGAANUCGUANCA